Molecule: ribosomal RNA, 293 nt
Filed under: uncultured bacterium
Lineage: Bacteria
Description: partial 16S ribosomal RNA
Rfam family: Bacterial small subunit ribosomal RNA
Source: RNAcentral
UAGGGAAUCUUCCACAAUGGACGCAAGUCUGAUGGAGCAACGCCGCGUGAGUGAAGAAGGUUUUCGGACCGUAAAGCUCUGUUGUUGGUGAAGAAGGAUAGAGGUAGUAACUGGCCUUUAUUUGACGGUAAUCAACCAGAAAGUCACGGCUAACUACGUGCCAGCAGCCGCGGUAAUACGUAGGUGGCAAGCGUUGUCCGGAUUUAUUGGGCGUAAAGCGAGCGCAGGCGGAAGAAUAAGUCUGAUGUGAAAGCCCUCGGCUUAACCGAGGAAUUGCAUCGGAAACUGUUUUC